This 280-nucleotide long non-coding RNA is filed under the name Nicotiana benthamiana. RNAcentral's name for it is "long non-coding RNA (NBEN_LNC019256)". The record is from RNAcentral. Lineage: Eukaryota; Viridiplantae; Streptophyta; Magnoliopsida; Solanales; Solanaceae.
GGUUUCAUAAGAAACUCAAGUAGAGAUGAAAGAACCUAUUUAGAAAAUCAAAGAUCGUAACAAAUACAUCACAAUCUUCUCGAAAUGACACUGGUGUAACCAAGAACAACCCAAACAACAAACCCUAAAUACAAGCAGCAUGGCCUAAGGCCUUUGAAGGCCUCAGAGGCUUGGGGGUUUUAGGGUGGUCACCGGAGAAGACCGGAGAAGGGAGGCGGUUGAAAGGGGGCUAGGGUUAGGUUGAGAGAAGAGAGGAUAUGAGAGGAUACAGAGAUGGUGG